Molecule: ribosomal RNA, 493 nt
Filed under: uncultured bacterium
Lineage: Bacteria
Description: partial 16S ribosomal RNA
Rfam family: Bacterial small subunit ribosomal RNA
Source: RNAcentral
AUUGAACGCUGGCGGCAUGCUUUACACAUGCAAGUCGAACGGUAACAGGUUAAGCUGACGAGUGGCGAACGGGUGAGUAAUGCAUCGGAACGUGCCCGAUCGUGGGGGAUAACGCAGCGAAAGCUGCGCUAAUACCGCAUACGAUCUGAGGAUGAAAGCGGGGGACCGUAAGGCCUCGCGCGAUCGGAGCGGCCGAUGUCAGAUUAGGUAGUUGGUGGGGUAAAGGCCCACCAAGCCGACGAUCUGUAGCUGGUCUGAGAGGACGACCAGCCACACUGGGACUGAGACACGGCCCAGACUCCUACGGGAGGCAGCAGUGGGGAAUUUUGGACAAUGGGCGAAAGCCUGAUCCAGCAAUGCCGCGUGCAGGAAGAAGGCCUUCGGGUUGUAAACUGCUUUUGUACGGAGCGAAAAGGUCCUUUCUAAUGCAGGGGGCUCAUGACGGUACCGUAAGAAUAAGCACCGGCUAACUACGUGCCAGCAGCCGCCGUAA